RNAcentral lists this ribosomal RNA (227 nucleotides) under uncultured bacterium. RNAcentral describes it as "partial 16S ribosomal RNA". It matches the Rfam family "Bacterial small subunit ribosomal RNA", at positions 15 to 224 of the family's 1533-position model. The record is from RNAcentral.
GAUCCUGGCUCAGGACGAACGCUGGCGGCAUGCCUAACACAUGCAAGUCGAACGGAGCACCCUUGACUAAGUUUUCGGACGAGGGAGAGGAAUGCUUAGUGGCGGACGGGUGAGUAACGCGUGAGCAAUCUGCCUUUCAGAGGGGGACAACAGCUGGAAACGGCUGCUAAUACCGCAUAAUAUAUACUGGCCGCAUGACCGGUAUAUCAAAGAUUUAUCGCUGAAAG